CUUUAUCCGUCGGGGGGCCCAUUGGGCUGAGAGGUGCUUGCACCGACCCGUCGAACCUGAUCCGGGCAAUGCCGGCGUAGGGAACGGGUAAUUCGCAUAG
Molecule: non-coding RNA, 100 nt
Filed under: Ahrensia marina
Lineage: Bacteria; Pseudomonadati; Pseudomonadota; Alphaproteobacteria; Hyphomicrobiales; Ahrensiaceae
Also listed under: 1 other name
Description: TPP riboswitch aptamer (THI element)
Rfam family: TPP riboswitch aptamer (THI element)
About the family: Vitamin B(1) in its active form thiamin pyrophosphate (TPP) is an essential coenzyme that is synthesised by coupling of pyrimidine and thiazole moieties in bacteria. The previously detected thiamin-regulatory element, thi box was extended, resulting in a new, highly conserved RNA secondary structure, the THI element, which is widely distributed in eubacteria and also occurs in some archaea. Analysis of operon structures identified a large number of new candidate thiamin-regulated genes, mostly transporters, in various prokaryotic organisms.
Source: Rfam by way of RNAcentral